Long non-coding RNA from Saccostrea echinata, 316 nucleotides. RefSeq lists it as uncharacterized. Lineage: Eukaryota; Metazoa; Mollusca; Bivalvia; Ostreida; Ostreidae. The transcript is spliced from 3 exons. The record is from RefSeq and is a predicted model, not a curated record.
CAGUGAACAUGUCCUAAAGUUUUUGUACAACGAGGAAAUUCUGCAUGUCCAUCCAGGCGUAGAUGAAAAGAAAGUUGUACAAAGUCACUGUAGGUACAUGUAGUCAACUCUAGUUACGCAGUAUCUGCUUGUACUGUGAAUGCCCAUUGGAUAACUUCAUAUGACAUCAUUUUGAAACAACCUCUGCACCUCUGUUGUAUAUAAAUGUAUGCUGUGUAUGUAAAACAUAUGUAAAGUGUUGGUGGCUUAAAAAUCUGAAGACAUCAAUGGAACACAAAAACCAUGGUGCAUAAGAUAUGUCCAAUAAAUCCUUUAA